GUGAGGAAUAUUGCGCAAUGGGGGAAACCCUGACGCAGCGACGCCGCGUGGAGGACGACGCCCUUCGGGGUGUAAACUCCUUUCGACGGGGACGAAUGCCCGCAAGGGUUUGACGGUACCCGUAUAAGAAGCCCCGGCUAACUACGUGCCAGCAGCCGCGGUAAUACGUAGGGGGCAAGCGUUGCUCGGAAUUACUGGGCGUAAAGGGUCCGUAGGCGGUGGGGCAUGUCGGUUGUGAAAUCUCCCGGCUUAACUGGGAGGGUGCGAUCGAAACUGUUCCGCUAGAGGGCCGGAGAGGCGAGUGGAAUUGCUGGUGUAGCGGUGAAAUGCGUAGAGAUCAGCAGGAACACCGGAGGCGAAGGCGGCUCGCUGGACGGCACCUGACGCUGAGGGACGAAAGCUAGGGGAGCAAACAGGG
This 418-nucleotide ribosomal RNA is filed under the name uncultured bacterium. Its description in RNAcentral is "bacterial SSU rRNA". It matches the Rfam family "Bacterial small subunit ribosomal RNA", at positions 354 to 777 of the family's 1533-position model. The record is from RNAcentral.